AGCAGCCGCGGUAAUUCCAGCUCCAAUAGCGUAUAUUAAAGUUGUUGCAGUUAAAAAGCUCGUAGUUGGAUUUCGAGAUCAGUACGCUGGUCGUGCCUUCGGUAUGCACUGGUGUCACUGGUUUCUCCCUUCUGAAGAACCGUUAUGUCAUUAAGUUGGUGUGGCGGGAAUCAGGACUGUUACUUUGAAAAAUUAGAGUGUUUAAAGCAGGCUCGCGCUUGAAUACAUUAGCAUGGAAUAAUGAAAUAGGACGUUUGACCCUAUUUUGUUGGUUUCUAGGAUCGACGUAAUGAUUAAUAGGGAUAGUUGGGGGCAUUAGUAUUCAAUUGUCAGAGGUGAAAUUCUUGGAUUUAUUGAAGACUAACUACUGCGAAAGCAUUUGCCAAGGAUGUUUUCAUUAAUCAAGAACGAAAGUUAGGGGAUCGAAGACGAUCAGAUACCGUCGUAGUCUUAACCAUAAACUAUGCCGACUAGGGGUCGGAUGAUGUUUAAUUUUUAAUGUACUCA
RNAcentral lists this ribosomal RNA (507 nucleotides) under uncultured Glomeraceae. RNAcentral's name for it is "SSU rRNA". It matches the Rfam family "Eukaryotic small subunit ribosomal RNA", at positions 569 to 1082 of the family's 1831-position model. The record is from RNAcentral. Lineage: Eukaryota; Fungi; Glomeromycota; Glomeromycetes; Glomerales; Glomeraceae.